CAGGGAAUUUUGCACAAUGGGCGCAAGCCUGAUGCAGCGACGCCGCGUGGGGGAUGAAUGCCUUCGGGUUGUAAACCCCUUUCAGGAGGGACGAAGCGAAAGUGACGGUACCUCCAGAAGAAGCCCCGGCCAACUACGUGCCAGCAGCCGCGGUAAUACGUAGGGGGCGAGCGUUGUCCGGAUUUAUUGGGCGUAAAGAGCUCGUAGGCGGCUCAACAAGUCGGCCGUGAAAGCCUGAGGCUCAACCUCAGGACGCCGGUCGAAACUGUUGUGGCUAGGGUUCGGUAGAGGAGAGUGGAAUUCCCGGUGUAGCGGUGAAAUGCGCAGAUAUCGGGAGGAACACCAGUAGCGAAGGCGGCUCUCUGGGCCGACACCGACGCUGAGGAGCGAAAGCUAGGGGAGCAAACAGGAUUAGAUACCCUGGUAGUCCUAGCUGUAAACGUUGGGCACUAGGUGUGGCGGAUUCAUUGACAUCUGCCGUGCCGAAGCUAACGCAUUAAGUGCCCCGCCUGGGGAGUACGGUCGCAAGGCUA
RNAcentral lists this ribosomal RNA (533 nucleotides) under uncultured bacterium. RNAcentral's name for it is "bacterial SSU rRNA". It matches the Rfam family "Bacterial small subunit ribosomal RNA", at positions 355 to 896 of the family's 1533-position model. The record is from RNAcentral.